This 354-nucleotide ribosomal RNA is filed under the name uncultured bacterium. RNAcentral describes it as "bacterial SSU rRNA". It matches the Rfam family "Bacterial small subunit ribosomal RNA", at positions 8 to 349 of the family's 1533-position model. The record is from RNAcentral.
AGAGUUUGAUCCUGGCUCAGGAUGAACGCUAGCUACAGGCUUAACACAUGCAAGUCGAGGGGAAACGACAUCGAAAGCUUGCUUUUGAUGGGCGUCGACCGGCGCACGGGUGAGUAACGCGUAUCCAACCUGCCCAUCACUUGGGGAUAACCUUGCGAAAGUAAGACUAAUACCCAAUGAUAUCUCUAGAAGACAUCUGAAAGAGAUUAAAGAUUUAUCGGUGAUGGAUGGGGAUGCGUCUGAUUAGCUUGUUGGCGGGGUAACGGCCACCAAGGCUACGAUCAGUAGGGGUUCUGAGAGGAACGGUCCCCCANAGUUGGAACUGAGACCACGGUCCAAACUCCUACGGGAGCA